UGGAAGUCCCAGUGCUGUUGAUGGAUGGCAGGGCCUUCCUCAGUGCAGUUCUGCAGAAUUACCUGCUCUCCUCUUACAUCAAAACAGAGAGAACCUGGGUCUGUGUGCAGAUGGAUAUAGCUCAGGGUAGACAUUGGCUAGAAACCAGUGGAAUGUCCGGCAACCCAGCCUUCUUUGAAGCUGCAGACGCUCUGUGCAGUUUGGCUUCGCAGCCUGGUGGAAGAAAAGGACACUGUCCACAAGCCCUACCGCAGGUUUGCACUUUGUUACAAGGCAGAAAACCUUCCUCUGUGUGAGUUCUGUUACCCCACCUUUCUUGCUGAUGGGACAAGCUGGCAAAUCUACCCAACCUGUGACUUCAAGCAUUGGACAUGCUGACCUCGAACUUCUACACAACUACGCUUGAGAGAGGUGGAACUAGAAGAAAAUGCAGCACUUGCUCCUGCCUUUCAGGGCAGCCUCCAGGUCAGUCGGGGAGCUGGUAUCUCGGCUUCGGUAGAUGUGACCCACUCGGGAGCAGGGGAGGAUUUCAACUGAGCCACCACAGAGCCAGGCCUGUCACAGAGAGAGAAGCUCUCUGCCUCCUGUCUGGCACCAUGUGAACAAACUGGCACCACAGGCUCCUGCAGCAUGGACUGAGGCACUCUUGCUGCCAGCCCCCAUGCCAUGAUGCUCUGAGAAUCUCUGAACCGUGAGCCAAGACACAUCCUCUCUUAACUUGCUCUGUCAGGCAUUUUGUCACAGUGAGGAGAAAAGUAACAAAUACAAGCUUUCUCCUCCUCUCUUCCCA
Molecule: long non-coding RNA, 790 nt
Organism: Nannospalax galili (Upper Galilee mountains blind mole rat)
Lineage: Eukaryota; Metazoa; Chordata; Mammalia; Rodentia; Spalacidae
Exons: 5
Source: RefSeq, a predicted model, not a curated record